This 228-nucleotide ribosomal RNA is filed under the name uncultured bacterium. RNAcentral's name for it is "partial 16S ribosomal RNA". It matches the Rfam family "Bacterial small subunit ribosomal RNA", at positions 568 to 796 of the family's 1533-position model. The record is from RNAcentral.
UCCGUAGGCGGGUAAUUAAGUCAGAGGUGAAAUCCCACAGCUUAACUGUGGAACUGCCUUAGAUACUGGUUAUCUUGAGUUUUAGUGAAGUAGAUAGAAUGUGUAGUGUAGCGGUGAAAUGCAUAGAUAUUACACAGAAUACCGAUUGCGAAGGCAGUCUACUAACUAACAACUGACGCUAAUGGACGAAAGCGUGGGAGCGAACAGGAUUAGAUACCCUGGUAGUCC